AUGUUCACUUCAGCAGCAUAUAUACUAAAACUGGAACAAUACAGAGAAGAUUACCAUGACCCCUCUGCAAGGAUGACAUAAAAACUACUUAUUGGCCAUCUCAUAUU
Molecule: small nuclear RNA, 107 nt
Organism: Leptonychotes weddellii (Weddell seal)
Lineage: Eukaryota; Metazoa; Chordata; Mammalia; Carnivora; Phocidae
Source: RefSeq, a predicted model, not a curated record